UGGGGAAUUUUGGACAAUGGGCGAAAGCCUGAUCCAGCAAUGCCGCGUGUGUGAAGAAGGCCUUCGGGUUGUAAAGCACUUUUGUCCGGAAAGAAAUCCUUGGCUCUAAUACAGUCGGGGGAUGACGGUACCGGAAGAAUAAGCACCGGCUAACUACGUGCCAGCAGCCGCGGUAAUACGUAGGGUGCAAGCGUUAAUCGGAAUUACUGGGCGUAAAGCGUGCGCAGGCGGUUUGCUAAGACCGAUGUGAAAUCCCCGGGCUCAACCUGGGAACUGCAUUGGUGACUGGCAGGCUAGAGUAUGGCAGAGGGGGGUAGAAUUCCACGUGUAGCAGUGAAAUGCGUAGAGAUGUGGAGGAAUACCGAUGGCGAAGGCAGCCCCCUGGGCCAAUACUGACGCUCAUGCACGAAAGCGUGGGGAGCAAACAGGAUUAGAUACCCUGGUAGUCCACGCCCUAAACGAUGUCAACUAGUUGUUGGGGACUUCAUUUCCUUAGUAACGUAGCUAACGCGUGAAGUUGACCGCCUGGGGAGUACGGUCGCAAGAUU
This 548-nucleotide ribosomal RNA is filed under the name uncultured bacterium. RNAcentral describes it as "partial 16S ribosomal RNA". It matches the Rfam family "Bacterial small subunit ribosomal RNA", at positions 355 to 895 of the family's 1533-position model. The record is from RNAcentral.